GUGAUCUCUUAGGCAGCAUAAAUACUAAAAUUAGAAUGAUAGAGAAGCAAUUAACAUGGCCCCUGAGCAAGGAAGGCAUGAAAAUUCAUGAAGAAUUCUAUGUUUUU
This 107-nucleotide small nuclear RNA is filed under the name Propithecus coquereli (Coquerel's sifaka). The record is from RNAcentral. Lineage: Eukaryota; Metazoa; Chordata; Mammalia; Primates; Indriidae.